CGCCAUAAUUCAGUACUUAAAUCAUUCAAGACAAUCUUAUUCAGCCGUUAGAAGAAGCUUAAAGCAGCUAAUCCUGCUUCUGCCAACAACCAGUUACAAAGAGAAUCCAAUAUUGAGAAUCACAUUGUCCAUAUCUUAAUAACAGGCCCUACCUGUUUGGAGACCCUGGUUCCAAAAAGUGGUAGAAUUAGAUGCAAACAAUCCUGAAUAAAUCUUCUCAAGUAUGCCAUUUGAGAACUAACUAGCAUAAUUGAGAAUGAAUAGCCACUGUAGUGCUUUUUAGAAGUUGUGACAAGGAGACUUCAAAUAUCCCAAAGAAGAAAAAGAAUUAGCGUGAGUUAGCGGACAUAACUGAAAUGCAGCCAUCAGAUGGAUGUCUCUAUCUUGUCGUGCAGGGUGACCACCAAGUCAUGUGCAUCAUCUAGCAGCUUCCACACAUCGAGUUGCCCAGCCAUGCUAUUGCACUCCCUUAAAAUUUCAUCCAUGCUGUUAUACUUCUCUAUAAUUAAUUUCCUCCUCUGCAAUACUGAAGCUGCAAUAGCAUAAAGCAACAAAUCAUCUGUUGGUGGUGCUCGCUGCCUUAUCCUGCUCCAUGCUGACUUGCCAAUGCCAGCCCUUAUUUUGUCUCUGGGAAGUGAUGUGGGCAGAUCACUUCCCAGAGACAAAUUGUCUGUUCAAAAGUCAACUCCCUCAUGAACAGCACCACCACCAUCCUAUAAACAAAAAAACAAUCCUCAGCCUGGAGCUUCUCCAAGUGCCUGAAAAGGUGGGAGUCUUUGCAUUUGAUAAUCUUGGAAACAAUAUUCAAUUGUCUCCGAAUUCCCACUUCAUCGAGUCUAAAAUUAUGACGAGCCUUCUUCAUGAAACCAACAAAACACCAGAAUGCUUCAUGAUCCUCUGUAAUAACAGUAACAAUCGGAGAAAGUAGAUCACUCAUGCCCUGACAAUAGCCAAUUUCAGGGUCAUAGAGUGCAUAGGCUUCAAGAAUAGCAACCAAUCGGGCAGCAUGGAAAAUUUGGCAGGGUUCCAGAUGUUCGUAGUCCUUUAACCCAACAGCUUCAGCAGAACAGCAAGCUCUAUCCUCUGAUACUGAAGCCUGAGAUGGAGAGUAAGGUAUCCAUUCUGAAUUGGCACGCACUGCAUCUACACGAAUUAUCCGCUGCCAAGUAGCAAAAUUUUCAGCAGCAGGUGCACUCGAGUGGAGCUCAGUCCUUGAGGGAGAAGUAAACUCUUUGGAAGGCUCAUCAGGACCAUUAUUUUCCUGUCCUGAAGAAGAGGAAGCCUGAAUAACUGCUUCGGGGGUCUUCAGAGGAGUCUGAGUCAGAUGAUUCAGUGUUCAGUGCAGAGGCAUCAGUGUUUGUCAUCUGCUGUCUUGAACUAUCAUCAACUUCCAACAGUGUACUAGAGGGAUCAUCAGAGUACUCAACAUCUAGACUCCUUUCCUCACUGGAAAGGGAUUCCCUUGCACUAACCACAUCUUCAUAACUAGAAGAGUCCAUAUCUCGAACAAGACUUCCGCUAUCCACAUNGCUUGGUUCACUACUCCCAUUCAACUUAAAGCUCUCAUUGCUGUGUUUGAGGAGCCGUCGGCACUGUCUGCGGAGUUUCUCAUAUUC
This 1616-nucleotide unclassified non-coding RNA is filed under the name Hevea brasiliensis (rubber tree). The record is from RNAcentral. Lineage: Eukaryota; Viridiplantae; Streptophyta; Magnoliopsida; Malpighiales; Euphorbiaceae.